UGAUUGGUGCCCUCUGCCCAUAUAACGUCGGGGUGUCCAGUGGUGGAGUCAGAUCGCCUCACCCACCGGCUCUGCACUGUCCCGCCUGCGCUCUGCCCUUCCGCUGACCAUCAUGAAGCUCCUGGCUGUCCUGCUGCUCGUGGCAGUGUCCACUGCCCUGGUCUCCGGCCAGACAACAUCUGCGGCUGGAUCCAUCUCUGGUUCCACUCCCAGUGCAGCUACUACUCCUGCUGCUCAGACAACACCUGCUUCUCCCGCCACCACCGCCCCAGCCGCUACC
Long non-coding RNA from Condylura cristata (star-nosed mole), 280 nucleotides. RefSeq lists it as uncharacterized. The transcript is spliced from 3 exons. NCBI's taxonomy places the organism in Eukaryota, Metazoa, Chordata, Mammalia, Eulipotyphla, Talpidae. The record is from RefSeq and is a predicted model, not a curated record.